This 238-nucleotide ribosomal RNA is filed under the name Clostridium botulinum. RNAcentral describes it as "partial 23S ribosomal RNA". It matches the Rfam family "Bacterial large subunit ribosomal RNA", at positions 264 to 506 of the family's 2925-position model. The record is from RNAcentral. Lineage: Bacteria; Bacillati; Bacillota; Clostridia; Eubacteriales; Clostridiaceae.
GAGCCCAAACCAGAAACUUGUUUCUGGGGUUGCGGAUAGAUCAUAAAAGAAGAGGUAUCUUAAUCGAAGAGGGCUGGAACGCCCUACCAUAGAAGGUAAUAGUCCUGUAGAUAAAAAGAGAAAACUUCGAGAUCUAAUCCAGAGUACCACGAGACACGUGAAACCUUGUGGGAAGCAGGGAGGACCACCUCCCAAGGCUAAAUACUACCUAGUGACCGAUAGUGAAGCAGUACCGUGA